GGCAUCGUUACGUGGCUAUACUUUCCCCCACAUGCCUCCACUCCACUCCCUUAUUUCACCACUAAACCCAUUCUCCACUCUCAAUCUUGUGUCUCUCACUCACAAUGGCUGAUCAGAAGCAGAAGCUCAACGGCGGCCUCGCCGGACGGUCCUUGGUGGAGGUGACUCCCAACCCAAGUAACGGCCUUCUAUCCAAGGCCACCGAUUUGUUGGAGAAGCUGUUUGUCAAGCUUAUGUUUGAUUCUUCCAAGCCUCAGCAUUAUCUUUCCGGUAAUUUUGCUCCCGUUCAUGAUGAGACUCCUCCGAUUACUGAUCUCCCUGUUAAAGGUUAUCUUCCGGAAUGCUUAAAUGGAGAGUUUGUUAGGGUGGGACCAAAUCCGAAGUUUAGCCCAGUUGCUGGUUACCACUGGUUUGAUGGAGAUGGCAUGAUCCAUGGAUUGCGCAUUAAAGAUGGAAAAGCAUCAUAUGUUUCCCGUUAUGUGCAGACAUCAAGACUUAAACAAGAAGAAUAUUUUGGAGCUUCUAAAUUCAUGAAGAUUGGUGAUCUUAAAGGGUUCUUUGGGUUAAUAAUGGUUAACAUGCAAUUGCUGAGAGCAAAGUUAAAGGUGUUGGAUGUUUCAUAUGGUACUGGGACAGGUAACACAGCUCUCAUAUAUCACCAUGGAAAGCUUCUAGCACUUUCGGAGGGAGAUAAACCUUAUGUUAUAAAAGUGUUGGAAGAUGGAGAUCUGCAGACGCUUGGUCUGCUGGAUUAUGACAAGAGAUUAAAGCACACCUUCACUGCUCAUCCAAAGGUUGAUCCAGUCACUGGCGAAAUGUUUACAUUUGGCUAUUCUCAUUCACCACCAUACGUUACAUACAGAGUUAUUUCCAAGGACGGUCUCAUGCAUGACCCCGUACCAAUCACAAUUCCAGCUCCUGUCAUGAUGCAUGACUUCGCAAUUACAGAAAAUUAUGCAAUAUUUAUGGAUCUUCCUUUAUAUUUUAAACCCAAGGAAAUGGUGAAAGAAAAUAAGUUAAUUUUCACAUUUGAUGCUACAAAAAAAGCUAGGUUUGGUGUGCUACCAAGAUAUGCAAAAGAUGACUUGCUUAUCCGAUGGUUUGAGCUUCCUAAUUGUUUUAUAUUUCAUAAUGCUAAUGCUUGGGAGGAAGAAGAUGAACUAGUUUUGAUUACUUGCCGUCUUGAGAAUCCCGACUUGGACAUGGUCAGUGGGUCUGUUAAAGAGAAGCUCGAGAACUUCUCUAAUGAGCUGUAUGAGAUGAGAUUCAAUCUUAAAUCUGGUUUAGCUUCACAGAGGAAACUCUCAGAAUCUGCUGUAGAUUUUCCUAGAGUGAAUGAAUCCUACACUGGCAGGAAACAACAAUAUGUGUAUGGCACUACGCUGGACAGCAUUGCAAAAGUCACAGGGAUCGCUAAAUUUGAUCUUCAUGCUGAACCUGAAACUGGAAAGACGAAGAUUGAAGUUGGAGGAAAUGUUCAGGGCCUCUAUGACCUUGGACCUGGUAGAUUUGGUUCAGAAGCUAUCUUUGUUCCCCGCGUACCUGGCACCACUUCAGAAGAAGAUGAUGGCUACUUGAUAUUAUUCGUACAUGAUGAGAAUACUGGAAAAUCCGCAGUGAAUGUUGUAGAUGCAAAAACUAUGUCAUCUGAGCCUGUAGCAGUUGUUGAAUUGCCACACAGAGUUCCAUAUGGGUUUCAUGCCUUCUUUGUUACAGAGGAGCAACUUCAAGAACAAGGAAGGCUUUAACUGUACAGUUAUUUUUCAUGACAAAAAUGUCAUAGAAGACCUGAAGAAGACAAACAAACAAAUGUUAGCAUUGGGAGACAUGGGAAAUGAGGAUUUUUGCUAGAGACUUUUUUGAACGAAGAACUGCCAGCCUUAUCAGCUAAUUAUUUGACAUUUGAAUUUUAGUAGCAUUAUGAUAUGAACUGCCAAAGUGCCAGCCAUAUCAAAUAUUUGCUUGUACUAGCUUCUGGGUCCAAAUUGUACUUUUGGUUCAGUUUGUGAUUGUUAUCGUGACUAUGGACUUUUUUUAACAAAAAAAGUAUUAUUAUAGUUUU
Molecule: RNA transcript, 2062 nt
Organism: Cucumis sativus (cucumber)
Lineage: Eukaryota; Viridiplantae; Streptophyta; Magnoliopsida; Cucurbitales; Cucurbitaceae
Gene name: carotenoid 9,10(9',10')-cleavage dioxygenase 1
Exons: 15
Source: RefSeq, a predicted model, not a curated record